Molecule: ribosomal RNA, 303 nt
Filed under: uncultured bacterium
Lineage: Bacteria
Description: partial 16S ribosomal RNA
Rfam family: Bacterial small subunit ribosomal RNA
Source: RNAcentral
AGCAGUAGCCGCGGGAACACGUAGGGUGCAAGCGUUAAUCGGAAUUACUGGGCGUAAAGCGUGCGCAGGCGGUUCGGAAAGAAAGAUGUGAAAUCCCAGAGCUUAACUUUGGAACUGCAUUUUUAACUACCGAGCUAGAGUGUGUCAGAGGGGGGUAGAAUUCCACGUGUAGCAGUGAAAUGCGUAGAUAUGUGGAGGAAUACCGAUGGCGAAGGCAGCCCCCUGGGAUAACACUGACGCUCAUGCACGAAGGCGUGGGGAGCAAACAGGAUUAGAUACCCCUGUAGUCCCUGUCUCUUAUAC